Camelina sativa (false flax) is the source of this 797-nucleotide non-coding RNA. The record is from RefSeq and is a predicted model, not a curated record. NCBI's taxonomy places the organism in Eukaryota, Viridiplantae, Streptophyta, Magnoliopsida, Brassicales, Brassicaceae.
UUCAUAUUAUAAGGUAUUAUGUUGAUUUGUAUGUCCAAUAAGAUUGUUCUUAUCAGCUAACUUAAUUUAUAUGUUAACAUAUUAAUUACAUCGCUAAUUAAAUUGUUAUCGAUAAAGCCGAACCCACAAAAUGUGACAAUUUUUGCCGUCCACGAUUCCUCUGUUUGAUCGCGGCAGCUCCACCGUCCUCAUCUUCAUCUCAUCAGUCCACCAACCCGUAUCAUCUAAUUUCACAACACAAACAAUUUUUCCGUCGUACCUACCGACCGUUGUAAUCACCAUCACCACUGACAUAUAUCAUCGCCACACGGCCCACACCACCAACAGAACCAUCACCACCACCAACAGAAUCAUCACCACCAAUAGAAUCGUCACCACCAUCACCGAGAUUCACACUAUCGCUCGUUGGUUAAUGAAAUAUGCUACAAAAGUAGCCAGAGCUUCAUUCACAUGAGUUCCACACUUCUUCUUAGUCAGAGAUGAUGACCAUGGUCGUUGUUGUUUAUCCUAAUAGUCUCGUCGCUUUCCGACAUUAGUUGACAGAGCGAGAGAAGAAGUAAAGAAAAAUAUAAAGAGAAGUUUGUUAGAAGUAUAAACUGAUAUCAAUGUGGACUCUCCUUCAACUAUUGAUGAGAAUUCUCAGAUUACAACUCUCAUCUCUGAUAUCAAUGUGGACGCUCCUCGACCCAUUGUUGAGAAUUCUCAUAAUAGAACUCUCAUUUCUGAUAUCGAUGAGAGGGAAACCGUCUAAAACCAGCCUGAUCCGACUGAGACAGAUCAGGUGGAUGAUAUUGCUU